AUCCAGGUGACUGACUUAAGCGUUCUAAAACACUGUUAAAGCUUUCCUUGCAAGUUUACUCAGCUUCAUUAAAAGAAAGAAAAAAAAAAAGGCACACGUUUCUCAGACUCGCUAGUAGGAGCGGUCGCCUAUUUCCCCUCCGAGAGAAGCGCCUGCGCGCGGUUUCCCGCCCGCCUGAGCACGCCCCGGCUUCACGGCGGCAGCGCCGGCGUCCGGGCGCGGCCGCAACGGCAGCCCGCGCUGACACUGCGGGCUAGGCGCGCCGCCACGAUGAGCUCCGUCUCGCCGUCCGUCGAGUGGACGUAACGCAAUCGAUCCGGAGACACGGCGACGCGCGCCUAGUUAACGCUCUGCGCAGCUCUCCAGUGACGCGACCGAAGAAAACAAGCAACACCGGCCUCUUGACCUCGCUCCCCGCCAGUGAACCCCCCAACCCUACGCAGGAACAGGUGGUCUGGAAGAGGACAGAGGUUGAGGACAGUCGCUGGCUGCCAGAGAGACAUGACAGGUGUGGCACCUGGAGAGAGGGAACAGGGUUGGAGUGAGGCCUCCCUGCCCUGCUAGGCCCUGCCACUGCUGAGCUUCUGUGACGAGGAAUUUAGACCUCUUCACGUUCUAAAUGAAGGACUUACCACUGAAUGAAAGUAGAUUUCUCCUGCAUUGUGAACCAAGCCGUACCCCGCUUGGGGUAGUGAAUGUGUUCCCGACAGCAACAGCAAGCGCCAGUGUGCGGGACCUGCUCAGCACACCCGUGUCCCGGCUCUCAGGCCUGUGCCUCCCGGACGUUGGUCCUGCCCCUCUGCCCCCUGUGAGCUCCUCUGCAAGCAGCUGCUGGUAUUCUCCACCGCCCAGUAUGCUGGGCCAUCCCCCGGCAAGGCAGAGCUCCCUGUACGCUUUCCGUGGCACAGAGGGAUGAGGAGUACACAAAAAAUUAAAAGCCAAAGAUAAUAUCCAGCCCACGCUUCAGACGACAGUCUGAACCUUUUCCUUUCUGACUGGACCCGUAUAACGAAAGUGGUAACAUACUGUUCUGUCCCCAGCCAUCGACCAAAGAGAACUGUGUCUGUAUUGGCGCAAAAGAUGUGUAAGAGGACAUUCACAUCGGUGUGUGUGAAAUGCCUGUCCACGGUAUAAAUAGACACAUAAAUAGUGGCAUAUUUAUGUCAUGAAGUACAGCAGAGCAAUGAAAAUCUACUCACAGAUAAUACUGCACAAAAGAAGACAGACACAAAAGAAUAAAUACUGUAUGAUUUCAAUUAUAUGGGCAAACAGUAAUCUAGGGGUGGAGAUGAGACUGGGACAGGACAAAAAGAAGACUUUGGGGUGCUGGCAAUAAUUGAAUUUACUUUUUAACCUGUGUGAUAAUACAGGUGUGUUCCCUUUGUGACAGUUCAUCCGGUUUUUCAUUUAUGAUUUGUUUACUUUCCUGUACGUGUGGUUUUUUUUUUUUAAACCUGUGCAGGUCUUGAAUAAGUACCUGAAUUAAAGGAGUACCUGAAUUUGAAGGAAAAAAGUAGUGAUAACAAAGUAUAGCCAGUUGAUUUGAGUAAGAACUUAUUUUUGUGCUCCUGGUGGAGUUUGAGCAGUGACAUACUAAAAAUAAAUAUCAAUGGUCCCUGAAAAAUCAAGAGUUGACUAUACUGCUGUUGGUUUAAAUAUACGCAGAUAGAUAGAUAGGUGAUAGAUAAGUUCUCUGAACUUGAAGGAGAUUGUUGAUCCUUUUCUGUUUCUGUAACUUUUGCCCCCUGUCCUGAAUCACGUCCACACCUCCACAGCCCCCAGCCCCCAGCGCCCCCCGUGAACUAGUAUCUUUGCUUCUUUGUCCCUGGCGGUGGCACUGGAGUGGAAAGUCAAACCGUAGGAGGUUAGCUGUGAAGUAAAGCAAUGAAGAGGAAAACAGUACAAUGUAAACAUGGGGGUUGAUUUUCAACAUUGUGUUUUUAUUGAAUUCCUACUUUUCCAUAAAGUAAUUCCUUCCAAGCUUGGCCACGUUUUUUCAGAGCCCAGAUGUGUGAGGCGGUGUUGAUUUGCAUUAUUAUGCUUUACAUAUAUGUGUCAUGCAGCAUAUCCAUCCCGCUAACAGAGACACUCGAAUGCACACGUACGAAUGACAGGUUUUCGCCUGUGCAUAUGCUUUCUUUCCAAUAAACAACAGCUUUUCAAACUGUAGACUUGUGAGGCUCCCUAACAAAGUUUUGUUUGAGAACUAGUGGAGACUAUCUCUCUAAUGCUGUAAUUAUAAUUUUAUCCUAGAAAUUUAUAUGCUCUGCUUGCUGUUUUCAAAUUGUGGAAGAAAACUUCAGUGACUGCUGUUAGCCCUUUCACGCAUGCCAUUUGUGUUUCGGAUGUGUUUAAAUGUCAUUGUCACUGCUGUUAAUUGGCCUUCUCUUUGUAAGCUUGUAUUUGUCAGAACACAUUUAGAAGGAGGUUUUCAUGCUUUAUGAAAAUCAGUUUUGAACCAGAAUUGACAGAUCCUAUUUUCCUUGGUUACAGUGCUGGCUGGCUCGGAAGUACCAGUUCUCUUCCACUGUCUAAUGGAAGAGCGACCAGCCAUGGUGUGACAAGACACAACAUGGGUUAAUAGCCAGGAAAAAAAUUAAACCGUCCAGUUUAAUCGUUUUUGCAUAAACGUGCUGCUAACUACUGACUCUAAAUUUGGCAGCAAUUUUUCUAGUAAAUAUAAUUUCAGACCAGAAACUACAGUGUAAAGUAGAACAUCAUCCAAAUAAAGGAGAUGCAAUGCAUUGCUGUACAGCCCUGGCCGCCUCCGACCCCAUGGGUUUUGGCAUGCUUUAAGAGAAAUAAGAGUUAAAUUAAUUCUCACAGAAUUGAGAAUGUUCUUCCUGAACAAGACCAGGCAGCUUCCCACAUCAAACAGAGAGGCAAGCUUUUUGCGUUUUUAGCUGAUUUCCUAUACUUACAGAAUUUUCACAUUGCUUUCCUUUCUUGGUUUACACACCAUAAUUCUUUCCUUUCAAAAUGUCUAGUUUCCAAACUCACCAAAUUGUAUACAUUAAAUGUGUGCAAUUUUUGUAUUCAAUUCUACCUCAGUAGAGCUGGCAGUACUUUUUAAUGUCUAAGAUGUCUGUUUCACUGGUGCUAGAGGCAGUUGAAUUCUAACAAGCACUUUCAUAAAAAGGUUUGUUUUCUGCACAAAACUAAUCGUCUAGCCACUAAUUCAGAGAGGUCCUGUGUACACGCAUUUUGCAGCAGUCCGAGCUUGCUUUUCAAAUCAACAAGUAUAGACGCAGUGCCUCACAGUCUGGGCAUUACUCUUUUUCCCUACAGGUCCUCUCUUUGUCUCUAUAAAUUAAGCUUAUCUGCCAUUAAAGACAUUCUA
Physeter macrocephalus (sperm whale) is the source of this 3340-nucleotide long non-coding RNA. RefSeq lists it as uncharacterized. NCBI's taxonomy places the organism in Eukaryota, Metazoa, Chordata, Mammalia, Artiodactyla, Physeteridae. The record is from RefSeq and is a predicted model, not a curated record. The transcript is spliced from 3 exons.